Molecule: ribosomal RNA, 497 nt
Filed under: uncultured bacterium
Lineage: Bacteria
Description: partial 16S ribosomal RNA
Rfam family: Bacterial small subunit ribosomal RNA
Source: RNAcentral
GAUGAACGCUGGCGGCGUGCCUAAUACAUGCAAGUCGAGCGAACGGACGAGAAGCUUGCUUUUCUGAUGUUAGCGGCGGACGGGUGAGUAACACGUGGAUAACCUACCUAUAAGACUGGGAUAACUUCGGGAAACCGGAGCUAAUACCGGAUAAUAUUUUGAACCGCAUGGUUCAAAAGUGAAAGACGGUCUUGCUGUCACUUAUAGAUGGAUCCGCGCUGCAUUAGCUAGUUGGUAAGGUAACGGCUUACCAAGGCAACGAUGCAUAGCCGACCUGAGAGGGUGAUCGGCCACACUGGAACUGAGACACGGUCCAAACUCCUACGGGAGGCAGCAGUGGGGAAUCUUCCGCAAUGGGCGAAAGCCUGACGGAGCAACGCCGCGUGAGUGAUGAAGGUCUUCGGAUCGUAAAGCCCUGUUAUUAGGGAAGAACAGAUGUGUAAGUAACUGUGCACAUCUUGACGGUACCUAAUCAGAAAGCCACGGCUAACUACGUG